Molecule: non-coding RNA, 225 nt
Filed under: Acetobacter tropicalis
Lineage: Bacteria; Pseudomonadati; Pseudomonadota; Alphaproteobacteria; Acetobacterales; Acetobacteraceae
Also listed under: 1 other name
Source: RNAcentral
GCAACAGCGUUGCACGUUGGUUCCGCUUCAUAGAUACGUCUGUAAAGCGGCUAAGAGGGAAUGUGACAAGGCUCCUGAUCAAAGGGAGCUACAAGCACAGCCGCCCCCGCGACCGUGACCGGAAAGAUCGCUCUAUGCCACUGACCAAUCGUCGGGAAGGCGGGUGAUCGUUGGGGAAACCCUGAUUCCGCAAGCCGGGAGACCUGCCAGCAGACUAUUCAACGG